AUGAAUAUAGGCCACACAUGCUUUGAAUUUUUAAGUAGUCCACAAUUUUGUUCGUUUGUGUGCAAAAUUCUACAUUGCUUGACAGCCAUACAUACUAAGUAAAUAGACACCCACAUUGUUUACGUAUUAUGAGGAAGAAGACCAAGUCAAUCUACUUUGUAAUCUCAUCAAUCUUAAUUUUCUCAGUUAUUUAGGGAGUUCAAAUGAAAUACAAAAUUUUGGAAAAAAAAUGUAUCCAAUUUUGUGAAUGAAAAAUAUAUGGUAAAAAGGGUUUGUUAUGGAUACUUCGGCCCCUGGUAUCAAUACUCAGGGUAAGUUUAUCGAUAGGUUAUGGAUGCGGGGUAGUGUUUGGAAUGGCCAUGGGAUGUGUUGUUUUCCAAACCGGUAAGGCGAAAAGGUUGGUGAAUUUGGUUGAAGACCAACAUGAGAAGAGGCGAAGAAGAAAGCCAAAAUAUAGCACUCGCAUCAAUGGAUGAAGAAGGAUCUAGUUGGUGCGAAUGAAGUUAAAGCAUUUCUGCUGUGUCUUCAUAAUUUCUUGUUUAGUACUCUGUCAGAAAAUUUUUCCUAUGGUGAAAAGUUGCAUUGCUAUGUGUCUGUUUUUAUGAUUGUACCAAUUCCUCUGUAUUUCAUUGCAUUUCGUACUGUUUGUAAGGGUUUAGUUCGAGUGGAACAUCUUGUAUGGUGCAACUAUGUAUGUCUUCUUUCUUGAAUUUCAAUUUUAGUAAACAUUAUACUGCUCACCAUAAAAAAAAUACAUGUAGAAUUACAAAAGAUUCAAUUAUUCAAGCUGUUUGAGUUGCAUUUAUAAACACGUGACGAUGAGAAUUCAUGAACAUAAGGUAUGGUUUGAGCCCUUUUGCCAUAUGCAUUUAUGUUGCAGAUGUUCAAACAUGGAAUAAUUCAACCUGCCAUAAGCAAGUGUGAAGUCAAUAGACAAUUGAUAGUCUUAGUCUUUGUCUUUUUUUGUCUGAGUUAAAGUGUAGUCAAUAGACAAUUGAUAGUCUUAGCCCUUUUUGUGGAGUUAAAUUUAUAGUCAAUAGACAAUUGGGACCAAACUUGACCUGUUAUAAGGAAGAAGACUUUGUAAUCUCACCAAUGUUAAUUAUUUUACUUCUUUGGUAAAAAAAAGUAAUUAAUUUUAUGAAUGAAAAAUAUACGGUAAAGAGGAAGUAGUUGUUGAUCACUAAUAACAUGAUGAUUGUGGAAAUACAAAAAAUCCCAUAUAUGUGUUGAAUUCUGCAUAAUGUAAAUGUCCCGCAUUGCAUGUGAAUUCUGCAAUAGACCAAACUUUAUGUGUUAUAGUCCUUUAAACUGAGUUAAUGAAAAGUAACCAUUCUUAUCAAAAUUAGUUAUACUCUUAAUUUAUAACAAAGAAAGGAGUAAUUUGAGUUUAACUCAAAGGUUAAUAUGUCAUCAAUGGGCGAUGGCGUGGUGCUACCAUGUCAGCCAUUAUUUUCUUCUUUGAGUUAAGGUGAUUUCACCAAUUUAAGUUUACUUUUUUACUUCAAUUUAGGUUUAUGCUUAUUACCUUCGAAGAUUCUAAGUGGGUGCCACAACCAAAGGGUGAGUAAAAAGGGUUAAAAAUAAUUUUUUUAAAAAUAUUUUUAUUUUUAUUAAAAAUUUAGAAUUAGAAUUAGAUAAAUUUUGUAAAUGUUAAGGGCUAACUUUAUUAAUUUUUUUUUCAUAAUUCGAACUAAAAUGACAAAUUUUGUAAAAAGCGCUAAAUUAGUUGAAUUUUUUAUAUUUAGGAUUAAAUUGAUAGAAUGUGUAAAUAUUAGAGGUUAAAAUUGUUAUUAGAUCAAUAAAAAACCCAUAUCAGCUUUCCGUCACUCAUCUAUCUACAACUAAAGGGAGAGCGAUUAAAAAAUUAGAAUGUUUGGAUCAUUUUUCUAAUUAAAGUCAUAGUGUAGGAGGCAAUUAAAUGCAUGCGCCACUCACGGUGGACGGUUUUGACAGCUGAUGACGUUGACAGUGCUCUUAAUCUGAGAAACGUGGAGGUACAUUUUCAAGUUUCAAAAAUUUUCUGUUUAUUGUAUUUUUUUAUUAUUCUUUUUCCUUUUUAGUUGAAAAUAGUGCUAAUUAAUGUUAUUUGUUUGACUAAUGUGAUAAUUUCUACUUCAUGUGUAUUAAUCCAUAAAUUUUAACAAGAGUGGAAUUUUGAGAACUUAGUUUUGGAAGUUUGAAUCUUAAGUUUAACCUGCUGCUUUAGAUUUUGCAUUUUGGUUAACUGGCUUGUGUUAUGUGUUUCUCUGGCAUCAGCCGAUAUGUGGAUUUGCCCCUCGUGAUGCACUACGAUUCAAGAAAGCUGCUGGGCAUAAGGAUUUGUUCUACAUUGAUGACAAAGAUGUGGAGUUUAAAGAAGUAGGAACUUAUCAACAAUAUUCGAGAUUCUGUUAUAUGUUGCCUUAUGUAUGUAGGUUCUUGAGUCACCUUUGCCAAGAGCACCACGUGAAUUUAUAUAAGUAUACACAUUUUUAUGAAAUACAAGAUCUUGCUAAAAGAAAAAGCAUAUAAAAGUAUAAACGUUUUUAUGAAAUACAAGAUUUUGCUAAAAGAAAAAGCAUCCAAUUUUAAGAAUGAAAAAUAUAUGGUAAAAGCAUCCAUAACUUUUCAAUGUAAAAGACAAAAAAGACUGUAACACCAAUGUUGUGGUAUUAUUUGUUGCCUAUAAAUACCAUUCCUAUCCUUCUUCUUCCUCUACAAACAUAACAUGGCCCCCUAUCUCUUUCUCUGCCUAUUCCUCUUCUUUCCCCAUCUUUAUGCUUCUUUUUCUUCUUCAGGAUCUCACUCCUGCUCUUCACUAAUCCAAUUUAAGGACUCUUUUUCCAUCACAGAGGAUGCUUCCUGGUAUUGCGAUGAGAUUGCUGGCCUUAAAUCUCAUCCCAAGACAGAUUCAUGGAAGGAGGGUACAGAUUGCUGCUCAUGGGAUGGGGUCACUUGUGACCACCUAAAUGCUCAUGUUAUUGCCCUUGACUUGAGCUGCAGUUGGCUAUCUGGCAACUUCCCUUCCAAUACCACUCUCUUCCUUCUUCCUCACCUUCAAAAACUCAACCUUGCCUACAAUCAUUUCAAUCAUUCCAAAAUUCCAUCCGAGUUCGGUCGGGUUUACAAGCCUAUUCUACCUCAACCUUUCUAAUACAUGGUUUGCAGGAGAAGUCCCAUCCCAAGUCUCGCACCUGUCAAAAUUGGUUUCACUUGAUCUCUCCUCUGAGUUUGGUGAACAAACAAUUGACAAACAUGCUCUGGAGGGACUUGUUCACAACCUAACCGAGGUCAGACAUCUGUUUUUGGAUGGAAUGGACAUGUCUUCUGUUAAUGCUCAUGUCUUCAUGAAUCUAUCCUCUUCUCUAAGGUCUCUCAGUCUUGCUUAUUGUGAUUUGCAAGGAAAAUUCCCAAAAAACAUUUUUGAUUUGCCAAACCUCAAUCUCCUCAACUUGAGAGGCAACCAAAACCUCAAUCUUGAUCCUUUGAAGUUCAAUCGGAGCAGCAAUCUUGAACAUUUGGAUCUGUCGUGGAUGUCCUCCUCUACAGAAUCCAUUGAUUCAGUUGAUAAUCUACAGGCCUUAAAGUACUUAGCUCUAUCAGGAAAUUCUUUCUUUCAACGAUUGUCUGUCUCAAUCACAAAAUUAUCUUAUUUGGAGUACUUGACACUUGAAGGCGCAAAUUUUUUUGGAGGAUUGCCUGACUCGAUGGGGAAUCUCGUGUCCUUGAAGUGUUUAGACUUGAGAUCAAACAAAUUGAGUGGACAAAUUCCAUUGUCAAUUCUAAACCUAACGCAGUUGGAAUACUUGGAUAUAUCUGAAAAUUCAUUAGAAGGUUCCAUUCCAGAUGAGGUAACCGCUUUUCCUAAUCUAAAACAUUUAGACUUAUCUGACAAUUUACUCAAUGGAACACUUCCGUCAUGGUUGUGUACUGUUCCCUCCUUAAAGAUAAUAUUUCUCUUUCAAAAUCAAUUCAGUGGGCAUAUCAAAGAAUUCCAAUCCAAAUCACUAGAAUUGAUAGUGUUACAGAAUAAUAAACUCCAAGGUCCUCUUCCAUCUUCAAUAUUCCAACUUCUCAAUCUUACAUCGCUUGCUUUAUCCUCAAAUAAUCUUAGUGGUGUCAUAGAGUUUAGCAUGUUCUCAAACCUUCCAAAUCUCGAAUAUCUUGACCUUUCAUAUAACAGCCUAUCCUUAACAUCUAAUACUACUUCUACUGUUAAUCAUAUAUUGCCUAAUCUUACAGACGUACUUUUGUCAUCUUGCAAUCUUAGUGAAUUCCCCCAAUUUUUGAAAGGGCUUAAAAGUUUGGAAAGGUUAGACCUCUCUUGCAACAAAAUUGAAGGCAAGAUUCCACAGUGGAUGCAAGAGGUGGGGAAUGUCUCUUUGACUUACUUCAACGUAUCUCACAACUCUUUGACAGAAGUUGAGCACUUUCCAUGGAAGAAUAUUGCAUUUCUUGACUUAAGCUCCAAUUUGGUCAGUGGAAAUCUUCCGAUUCCAGCUUCGACGAUCAGAGUCUUUCUGAUCUCAAAUAAUAGUUUCAAUGGAGAGGUCUCUUCUUUAAUAUGCAAUGCCAGUUCUCUUCAAAUUCUUGAUUUGUCCCACAAUAACUUGAGUGGAACAAUUCCGCAAUGUUUCGGAAAUUUGAGCGACAGCCUUGAAUUCUUGAAUCUGAAGAAGAACAAGUUUUAUGGGACGAUUCCUCCAACAUUUGCAGAGGGAUGCCAGUUGACUAAUUUCAACUUAAAUGGAAAUCUGUUAGAAGGGCCUUUGACACCAUCCAUCCUUAAUUGUAGAGGUCUGGAAGUGCUAGAUCUUGGUAACAACAAGAUCAAUGAUACAUUUCCUCAUUGGUUGGGAAAUCUUCCAUAUUUGCAAGUUCUUGUAUUGAAGUCAAAUCAUAUGCAUGGUUCUUUGCGUGUCAAUAGCUCCAAGUCUAGCCCCUUUUUCUCUAAAAUCCAAAUUUUUGACCUCUCAAGUAAUUAUUUUUCUGGACCCCUACCUGUGAGGUACAUCAACAGCUUCAAGGCUAUCAGAAAUCUAGAGAAGAUUCGUAGUACAGUGUCGUACAUGGGGGUGAAUGGUCGGAAUGGUAGUGGCUUCUAUACCUAUUCCAUUGGAAUUGUUAUGAAAGGACAAGAUAUGGAAUUGGUGAAAAUUUUCACCAUGUGGAUGAUCAUUGAUCUAUCAAACAAUCAGUUUGAAGGGGGUAUUCCAGAGGUUUUUGGAAAGCUUAACUUACUGAAAGGGCUCAACCUUUCUCAUAAUAACCUUAGUGGUGGUAUCCCCACCUCAAUAGGGAAUUUGACAAGUCUUGAAUGGUUGGACCUAUCUUCAAACAGGUUGUCUGGGACGAUUCCAAAUAGAUUGGCAGAUCUGGCAUUUCUUUCGUCCUUCAAUGUUUCUGAAAAUCAACUCCAUGGUCAGAUUCCUCAAGGAAAACAAUUCAACACAUUUGGAAAUGAUUCAUAUCAAGGGAAUAAGGGACUAUGUGGGUUUCCAGUCUCGAAAGGUUGCAACAUCAUUGAGCCAGCACCUCCAAAUGUGCUUGAAAAAGAUGGCUCAAAAUCAAACAUUACUUUUGGUUGGAAAGUGGUGUUGAUAGGUUAUGGAUGCGGAGUGGUGUUCGGAAUGUCCGUGGGAUAUGUUGUUUUCCAAACUGGUAAGCCGAAAUGGUUGGUGAAUUUGGUUGAAAUCCAACAUGAGAAGAUGCGAAGAAGAAAGUCAAAGGAUGGCAGUCGCAGCAAUGGACGAAGAAGGAUCUAGUUAGUGGAAAUGGUGUUCAAGUGUUGAUGUUGUAUCUUCAUAAUUUCUUGUUUUGAAGUCUUUCAAUUUUUUUCCUAUGGUGAAAGGUUGCAUUGCCAUGCAUCUGUCUUUAUUAUUGUAACAAUUCAUCUAUAUUUCAUUGCAUUACGUCCUAUAACAUUUUGUAUGGUUCAACCAUUUAUAUCUUCUUUCAUGACUUCCAUUUUUGAGUCUCAAUAAUCUCUGCAUUCAAGAUUUUGUCAGCUUAUUAAUUGGUGGAUCAAUAAUCUUCAUGCUCAUCUCAUCAUCUUUUUCUCGAGUUUCUUCUGUGUGGAAAAUAAUUUGACAUUCUGCAAAUUUCCACAAUGCUUGUGGAUUACCUUUGGUUAACAGCUAUACAUAUAAAGGAAGAAAACAAGACCAUGUCCAAAUUUCCAAAAAUUAGCCAUUGAUUUUUGAACAGUUAAACUUUCGUAUUCUAUUUUUUAAAAUUGUAAAUUCUCAAAUAAUGUAAAUUAGUCCUAAAACUCAAGUUUUGAAAUCUUUACAAUUUAACCCCUUAUAGUUUCAAACUUUACUGUUUUAUACUCAACUUUCUAAAUUUUCAUAUUUCAUGAUCAUAUAAUUUAGUUACUACAUCAAUAUUUGAGAUUUCACUACUCAAACCCUUACUUCAUUUCGGUCGUUACUUCAAUUUUAUCAAAUUACAUCAUUUUUCAAUUUGAAUGCAUUGAUGUGAAAUUGAGGGACCACUAAACAAUGUUGAUGAGAGUUUAGGCAAAAUUGGUGGAUCCGAUCUCCUUAGUAAUUUCUUUGUGGAAGUACCUACUUUCACAAUGCAAACUUGGAUAGUUUGUGGUGGACGAUGAUGAAUCAUUUCACAGUCAAACACAUAAUUUUUAAACACAAAAUUAACGAUAUAUUGAAAUCAUUAUUGAAAUUAUAAUCAAAAUUAAUACAUGUUCUUUUUAUUAGCUUAAGGGCGUAAAAACCCUUCAAAAUUUUCAAAAAAAAAAAAAAUUUAAGUCCUUUUUUUCUACUCAAUUGAGCACUUAAACUUUUAAAAUGUAUCAAAAAUAUCUUUACACUUCUUCAAAAAAAGCAAUUAAACCCCUUUUUUUUUCCGCUCAAUUGGGUACUUGAACUUUCAUAAUGCAUAAAAAAAACCUUAAAUUUUUUUUUCAAAGAAACAAUUAAGCCUCUAUUUUUUUCCCACUCAAUUGGGUACUUGAACUUUCAUAAUGCAUCAAAAAGGCCUUUAUUUUUUUUCAAAAAAGCAAUUAAGCCCCUACUCUUAUUAAAAAUUAGAAAAAAUCAUAAAAAUAAUAAAGUUCAAGUACCCAAUUGAGUGCCAAAAAAUAAAGUAGGGGCCUAAUUGCUUUUUUUUGAAAAUGUUUGAGGGUCUUUUUGAUGUAUUUUGAAAGUUCAAGUACCCAAAUGAGUGCAUAAAAAGAACAGGGGUUUAGUUGCUAUUUUUGAAAAAGUUUGCACCCUUAAACCUCUUUUCUUUUUCUUUUUCAUAUGUGGCCUUGUUUGCUACAACUUAGUUGCUAAGUUAAAGGGAGUGAAUAGAGCACCAUUUUCUUCUUCUGCGUGGAAAAUUAAGUUGGCAUUAUGCCAAUUUCCACAUUCAUACAUACAAAGGAAGCAAGAGCAAGUCAAUAUACUUUGUAAUCUCAUCAAUUCUAAUUUUUAAAGUGUUGUUUACUACACACUUAGGGACCAUAUAUGUAUAUAUAUACAUUGCAGUCUGGGUCUUUGUCGUGUUUUGUUGGUUGGCUAUGGCCUUCUUGUUGUUUCCACUGUCUGCGGUGUUUGUUUCUAAGUCAUAUGUGGCCCUGUUUGCUACAACUUAGUUGCUAAGUUAAAGGGAGUGAAUAGAGCACCAUUUUCUUCUUCUGCGUGGAAAAUAAGUUGGCAUUAUGCCAAAUUCCACAUUCAUACAUAUAAAGGAAGCAAGACCAAGUCAAUAUACUUUCUAAUCUCAUCACUUCUUCUUUCUUUAGGGAGUUCAAGUGAAAUACAAAUUUUUUCACAUCCAAUCUCAUAAAUAAUCCGUCUUUGAACUUUCACCAAAAAAUAUUAAAUACCCAUUCACUUCAAUUCUACUAUUCUUAAAUCAUUAAAGUUUUGUGGAAAAUAUGCUUCUUGGAUAAAAUUAUUCAACACACAUGCCUUGAAUUUUAUGCAAAUAAAAUAAAUGAAUAUAGGCCACACAUGCUUUGAAUUUUUAAGUAGUCCAUAAUUUUGUUCGUUUGUGUGCAAAAUUCUACAUUGCUUGACAGCCAUACAUACUAAGUAAAUAGACACCCACAUUGUUUACAUAUUAUGAGGAAGAAGACCAAGUCAAUCUACUUUGUAAUCUCAUCAAUCUUAAUUUUUUCAGUUGUUUAGGGAGUUCAAAUGAAAUACAAAAUUUUGAAAAAAAAAUGUAUCCAAUUUUGUGAAUGAAAAAUUUAUGGUAAAAAGGAUUUGGUAUGGAUACUUCAGCCCGGGUAGCAAUACUCAGGGUAAGUUUAUCAAUACAUUGCUUUUGGUUGGAAAGUGGUGUUGAUAGGUUAUGGAUGCGGGGUAGUGUUUGGAAUGGCCAAAAUAUAGCAAUCGCAUCAGUGGAUGAAGAAGGAUCUAGUUGGUGCAAAUGAAGUUAAAGCAUUUCUGCCGUCUCUUCAUAAUUUCUUGUUUGGUAGUCUGUCAGAAAGUUUUUCCUAUGGUGAAAAGUUUGAGUUGCAUUUAUAAAAUUUCCACUGUCAAAAGAUUCGAUUGCACUGCAGGGUAACAUAUUUAAGAUUGGAUUACACUGUCAAAAGAUUGCAGCAACGAUGAGAUUAAUCCAAUUACAGGAAUUGGUAUCCUAAAUGGCUUUUUGGUACGUAGCUUCAUUGACGGUACAAACUAGUUAAAAUUUCCAGCAUUCAUGUGUUUGUUUUCCCUCAAGUAAACGUAGUCAAUACUGCAAAUGGUGUGGAAGUACUGUACAUUGUGGCCCAAAUGUCCAAAAUUUCCACAUUGCAUGUAAAUUAAGUUUGCGUGAGAGAGAUAGGAGGAAGCAACAGCAAGUGUGAAGUCAAUAGACAACUGAUAGUCUUAGUCUUUUUUUGUCGAGUUAAAGUGUAGUCAAUAGACAAUUGAUAGUCUUAGCCCUUUUUGUGGAGUUAAAAGUAUAGUCAAUAAACAAUUGAUAGUUAAAUUUGUAGCAUUCUUCUUCCUCUUUAUUCUUUUGUGUGGAAAAUUAUUUGGGACCAAACUUGACGUGUUAUAAGGAAGAAGACUUUGUAAUCUCAUGAAUGUUAAUUAUUUUACUUCUUUGGUAAAAAAAGUAACCAAUUUUAUGAAUGAAAAAUAUUAUGUGGUAAAAAGGAAGUAGUUGUUCAUCACUAACAAUAUGAUGAUUGUGGAAAUACAAAAAAUCCCAUAUAUGUGUUGAAUUCUGCAUAAUAUAAAUGUCCUGCAUUGCAUGUGAAUUCUGCAAUAGACCAAACUUUACGUGUUAUAGUCCUUUAAACUGAGUUAAUGAAAAGUAACCAUUCUUAUCAAAUUUAGUUAUACUCUUAAUUUAUAACAAAGGAAAGAGUAAUUUGAGUUUAACUCAAAGGUUAAUAUGUCAUCAAUGGGUGAUGGCGUGGCGCUACCAUGUCAGCGAUUAUUUUCUUCUUUGAAUUAAGGUGAUUUCACCAAUUUUAGUUUACUUUUUUACUUCAAUUUAGGUUUAUGCUUAUUAGCUUCAAAGAUUCUAAGUGGGUGCCACAAUCAAAGGGUGAGUAAAAAGGGUUAAAAAUGAUUUUUUUAAAAUUUUUUUAUUUUUAUUAAAAAUUUAGAAUUAGAAUUAGACAAAUUUUGUAAAAGUUAAGGGCUAACUUUAUUGAUUUUUUUUUCAGAAUUCGAACUAAAAUUACAUUUUGUAAAAAGAGCUAAAUUUGUUGAGUUUUUUAUAUUUAGGAUCAAAUUGAUAGAAUGUGUAAAUAUUAGAGGUUAAAUUUGUUAUUAGAUCAAUAAAAAAAACCCACAUUAGCUUUGCGUCACUCAUCUAACGACAACUAAAGGGAGAGUUAUUAAAAUAUUUAAUUUCAAAAAGUUUAGCAACUAAAUUGGAAAAUUUAAUAGUUGGGUGACUAUUUUUGCAGUUUACUACUUUUUUGGUCACCUGACUAUUAAGUGACACUUUUUAGUUGGUAUAAUAAUAAUUUUAGUCCUCAAUUUUUAUACUUUCUGUCAAUUUGACUCUGAUUAUAUAAAAUGAUUACAAAAGUGAAAUUCUUUUUAAAAUUUACAAAAUUCUAAAAAUUAAAAAUUAAAUGAAAGUAGAUAAAAAUUUCAAAUAUAAACAAAGUGAGAGAAAAUGAGGGAAAUAUUAUUUUUAAACCCUCCAACUUUUCUUUGUAUUAUCGUAAAGAAAUAUCUAAUAUCCAUUCUUUUAGAAAACAUAGAAAAAAGUAAAAAAAAAAAGAUUCAGUAAAAUUAUCUGUAUAUAAUCUGCUUUUAUAAUUUGGGUUUUUAAAAAUAAAUUUAAAUGAAUUGAAAAUUCGAAUUGAGUUUGAAAAAUAAAAUUUUGUGGUAUAUUUUAUAUUUUUGCUAGAAAAAUGGCAUCAAAGUUGAUUUUGUAAGCUUUUGUAAUAUCAGUUACGGAUGUUCUUCAAGGGCAUGGAACUCAACUUGAAAAUUUUACUAAUUUGGUUGCAAAAAACAUUGAGGAAGCAUAUAAUGAUCUAACCUUUUUUGUUUUGUUUUGUUUUUAAUUUGUUAUGGGAUUCUAUUGAAUGAUAAUUUUUUUUUUAUUUCCCAUACAUAUUAGUUCUUCAAAAACAACAUAUUCGAGAUUUUAUUUUUCUAGAAUUUUUAUAUAGAAGUUUAUAUUUUUUAAAAUAAAUUUGAGUUUUUUUUAGAAUUUUUAUAUAGAAUCGAGGUAAAUUGGAAAAAAAAAUUAUAAAAACAAAAUACUAAAAUUGUUAUUAUAGCAACUAAAAAGUGUCAUUUAACAAUAGGGUGACCAAAUUGUAACUUUUUUAGUUAAGUGACCAAAACGAAGAUUUACCCAUAGUUUAGUGGCUAAUUAUGUAGUUUACCCUUUCAUAAUUAAAAAAUAGUUGUUAAGUUUUUCUUGUAUUAGAUAACAAUUUAGAUGGUAAAAACCCUCUUUAGUCCCUCUCAAUUUUGAUAUUAAGUAAAAUUGUCCAUUUAAAAAAAAAAUCAAAGCAAUUUAAUAUUUGUUAAUUUCGAAAGUGAGCAACUAAGGACAAUUAAUCACAAUGUCAAUAUUUUCCAUCAAUUGUACAUAUUUUUAUUGGUGUAAUAACAAAUUUAGCUCUCAAAGUUUACACAUUCUGUCAAUUUAGUCUUGAUUUAACAAAUUUAACCCGCAACAAUUACAUAUUCUAUUAACAUUGACACAUAAUAUAUAAACAUUGAGAGCUUAAUUUGUUAUUGUAUCAAUAAAAAUUAUGUACAAUUUACAGAAAGCAUUAACACAAUGAUUAAUUGUCCUUAGUUGCUCCCUUUCAAAAUUGAUCAUGAUUAAAUUGCUCUAAUUUUCUGAGAGGAACCAAUUUGUUCAAUAUAGAAAUUGAGAGGGACGAGAAAUGUGUUUUUUUAUCCAUUUUAGAUACCAACAAGUGUUUGGCAUAGUCGCAAGACAUAUUACAUUCUCAAGGAGAGAAUGCGUAGUCAAACGUUGGAGAUAUCAAUGUUGUGUGGGGUAUCCAAGGAUCUCGAACACGAACUGUAAAACAUAUAUAAAGAAUAAAAAAAUAACAUCUUAAUUUAAAUAAUUAUAAAUUUUAAUUUGAAAAAAGUAUUUUGAGAAACAUAAGUUUUAGAAGUAGUAAAAUUGAAUCGAUAAAACAUGUCCAUUAUAUCAGAAUCAUAAAAAUACAACUUAAUUAAUUUGAAUUUAAACUUAACUCAACUCGACUUGAUUAUAAAAACUGAUAAUUUGAAUUCAAAAUGACAUGAUCUUGAAAUGAUUUGAAUUAAUUGUCAGACCCGAACGACAAAACUCGAAAUGAUGCAAUCCAAAAACACAAAUCAAGUGAACUAAACUACGAAAAAAAAAACCUUACACUGACUCAAAUCCAAAAUAGUUUAAUCCUAAAAUAACCUAAAUUUUAUAUAAUAAAAACUCGAAAUAACCCGAAAAUUUUUAAAUUAAAAUUGAUCCGACCCAAAUUCACACCACCUAAAAUCAAUCGUAACCACCUAAUUAAAAAGCAUGAAAUGAAAUGAUGUAAAGAGAAAAUCAGAGAAAACCAAAUAGAAAGUAACAAGCCUUUUUCAGAAUUGAAAGCAAAUUCCGUACAUUCACGACAUGCAUAAAACAACAAUGGUUUAUAGAAUUUAAAAAUUUUAGUUUAAUCAUUUAUGUUGGUUGUAGUUUCCGUUAGCUUAAUCAACAUGUUAAAUUACUAAAUUUUGACAAAAAAUACUUACGAGUUUAAUGAUUGUACCGAGAUUUUUAAAUAAAAAAGUCGGAAGACUAAUUUCUAACCUUUUAAAUAUAGGGACUAAAAGCAUCUUUUAACUUUGAUAUUAUUAUUAUAAGCAGGGAUAAUGUCACCUUUGGCAUCUGUACUUUCAUAAAAUGUCUAGUGGUACAAGUACUUUGAAAAUAUAUAAUGUGGUACCUGAACUAUCAAUAGGUGUUAUUAUUAUGGUACAUGUACUUUGAAAAUGUUUAAUGUGGUACCUAAACUAUCAAUAUAUAUUUUAUUAUGAUACUUGAUAAAGACGGACUAUGGUGGCUUAGGGGGCUCUUUGUCCCGCCACCCUUGCAAAAAAAAAAAUCGAAGAAUUUUGUUUUUUCCUUUAAAAUUUUUAGAAAAUUUCAAUUAGGCCCUCAAAAUUUUUGAAAAUUUUCAUUAUACCUUUUAAUUUUUUUGAAAAUUUUAAUUAAGCACUCUUAAAUUUUGAAAAUUCUCAUUAAUCUCACAAAAAUUUUAAAAUUUUUUAUUAGACCCCCAAUUUUUUUUAAAAAAAAUCUUAUUAAACCAUUAAAUUUUUAGCAAAUUUUACCUGCCCCCUCCCCCCCAAAAAAACCUAGUCCCAACUACUAGUAUCCGCCAUUGUUACUUGGUAUUAACACUGUUAGAAAAUUGCUAAAUCAACCAAUAAAAAUUUGACACAUAGAACCCUUUUUUUAAUUAUCAAGUCCACGUGGAUAAUAUAAUAGUGAAAAACUAAAUAAAAAAUAAUUAAAUCUGCUUAUUUACGAAAAUGAUGGAUUUAGUCCUUAUACCUUAAUUUGAUCAAUUUUAGUCAUUGUAUUUUUUGAAUUGGUCAAUUUUAAACUAUUUACUUUUUGAAGUUUGAAAUUUUAGUCUUGAUCCAAAUAAUAAUAAUAAUUAAAUCUGCUUAUUUAAAUUCAAUUAUUAGUUUUGUAUUAUGUAGAUAGUUAUAAAUUUAGGGUGGGUUUGGAUGGGCUGUGCUUUUACCUGCAGUUAGUGUAAAAAUAGCGGCGGUGGUGAGAUUAGAUAUCCAAGGUACCUAAUUUUUAUUUUGGCCAUAAGUACUACUAAAACUAUUCUUCCGUUACCCAUUUUAUACCAAAAUGUUAUAUCGGCUAAAAAGAUUCCAACAAAUAAUAGAUUGUAUGUCAUAUAAACUUUUUUAAAAAAUCAUUAAUUAAUUAAUUUUUAUAUUUUUCUUUCUUAUUCCUUUAUAAUGUUUGACAAUGUCGAUAAUGCUUGAAAUUGGCCCACUUGAGGUCGAAACGCUGGUGAUUAAUUUUGGUUUUGAAUUUCACCACCUACUUCUCUGACCAGAGGGGAUAGAAAAAGUUCUUUCAUCGAUCAAAACUAGUAUUUUCAAAAACAGACUGAUUCUACGGGUUGGAUAGGAAAUCGGUUUGGAAAUAGGGGUUGAAUCGAUUGACUUGCGAACAAAAACAAAUCGGUUGAACUAAGCUAAAAAAACUGGUUGAAUAAGUUCUCUCUUUUUAUAUAUAUAUAAAUAAUAAUAGACUUUGUUUUUACUACAUGUCAAUUUUUAAUUGGUUAAUUUUUUUUUCAUAUAAAUUGAACAAUUUGACUAAUGACGGAGGUACCAAAUUAUAGUCUAGGUACCAAUUUAUGGGUUAAGCCUAUUUAUAAAAUAGACUUUUGACAGUUUGACUAAUGGCGGUAGUAACUUGGGAAAAAAAAAGUAGUUUAUGUACCACUUGUGACAAAAAAUAAGAUUAGGUACCAACAUGGGAAAAUGAGUAUAAUUUAGAUACCGAUUUAUGAGUUAAGCCUAAUAUAUUUGUCGCAUAAUUUUUUGAAAAUAACAGAACUUAAUAAAUUUAACGGUUAUUGUUUGGUGAUUACUAAAAUUUUAAAAUUUGAAAAGUACAUGAACUAAAAAUGACCAAAUUAAAAUAUAAAUAUUAAGUCCACAACUUUUGCAAAGUACAAGGACUAAUUGCAGAAAUUAACCUAAAUUUCAUAUGGGUCAAUUACAAAAAUAAUCACUAAACUAUCCCUUUGGUUCUAUUCUAGCCACUCAACUAUAUAGGUGCUCAUGAGCUUGGCCAGGUCAGGCCUAAGUAAGGGUGAGCAUUCGAUUGAAUCGAAAAUUUUCGAGUUAAUCGAGUUUUCGAAUCUCAUUUUAUCAUCCUAACUUUAUUUGAAGUUUUCUCGAAUCGAGUCGAGUGAGAUGGAAUUCGAAUCGAAUCGAAUCGAAUCGAAUAUAUUUGUUCGAGUUAAAUUUUAAAAAAUAAUUUUGGGUCCUUGUAACCAUUGUCACCCAUCGUAAUAAAAUUUGUCCACCUUAAUCAAAUUUUUUAUUAACUUUCAUCACUUCAUAAUUUAUUUAUUAAUUUUUUAUAUACUGGUUAGCUUCUUUGCUUGCUUAGUUGUCUUCAGAUUCUUGUCACUAUGUAUUUUAGAAUUAAAAAAUAUAUUAAAUGUAAAAAUAUGAUUUUUUAAUAAAAGUUAUUUUAAAAAUAAAAUGUGAAAUUGAUACCAAUAUAAAAUUUCAACACGAAUAUUUUAAGGCAUAAUUAAUAAUUCAAUUUUAAUAUAAAUAUUCAAUAUGACUAAACAAUUCAAUAAUAUAAAUAAUAUAAAAUGUGAAAUUUAAUUUAAUAAUAUAAAUAGUAGAUAUAAAUAAAAUUAUUGCUAUUUAUGUUUAGUGAUUUUUUUGGAUAAUUUUGAUUUUUUAUUUGAGAAUAAAAGGUGAGAAGUAAAAGUUUAGGGGAAAAAUAAAAAGUUUUGGGGAAUAAAAGUUUGAGAGAAAGUAAAUAGGGGGAGUAAAAUUUUGGAGGGAAAAUAUUUAAAAAAAAUUGGAGGGGGGAGGGUUUGGGAUAGAUGGGAGGGGAAUAAAAGUUUUAGGGGAAAAGUGGGAGGGAGUAAAAAUUUUGGGAGAAAAUAAAAGGUUUUGAGGGUUUUGGGGAGUAAAAUAUUGAGAAAAAAUAAAUAGGAGAGUAAAAUUUUGGUGGGAAAUGGAUUUUGGGUAGAUUGGGGGGUUGGGAGGGGAGGGGAGUAAAAGUUUUGGGGGGAAAGUGGGAAGGAGUAAAAGUUUUGAGGGAAAAGUAAAAAGUUUGGGAGUUUGGGGUAAAAAUGUAAAAUAUUAUAGUUUGAUAUUCGAAUUAUUCGAAUUAUUCGAGUUAUUCGAAUUCGAAAACUCAACUCGAUUCGAACUCGAAAUUCGAAAAAAAAUUCGAGUUGAUUCGAAUAACUCGAUUCGUUUAACUCGAAAUUUGAAUUUUUUUCAAUUUUUUCGAGUCGAAUCGAGUUUUGCUCACCCCUAGUUGCAAGUGCAACUUGCGUGGUGGCUGCCAGAAGGACUGAAUCGUAAAUGUAGCAAAAGUUUUGGGGCAAAAAUGUAAUUUUGAGAAAGUUUAGGGUCAAAAUAUAAUUUUAAAAAAUAUUAAGGGUUAAAAUAUAAUUUUAUAAAAAUUUAAGGGUCAAAAUGAAAUUUUAGAAAAGUUCAGAGGUCAAAAUACAAUUUUUAAAUUUUUUUUUAAAAAAAAAACACGAAAUUAUUCCCACAAAAUUAAGUGAUUACACGUAACUUUUCAAUGUAAAAGAAAAAAAAGACUGUAACACCAAUGUUGUGGUGUUAUUUGUUGCCUAUAAAUACCAUUCCUAUUCUUCAUCUUCCUCUGCAAACAUAACAUGGCCCCCUAUCUCUUUCUCUGCCUAUUCCUCUUCUUUCCCCGUCUUUAUGCUUCUUUUUCUUCUUCAGGAUAUCAGUCCUGCUCUUCAUUAAUCCAGUUUAAGGACUCUUUUUCCAUAACAGAGGAUGCUUCUUCUGAUUGCAAUGAGAUUGCUGGCCUUAAAUCUUAUCCCAAGACAAAUUCAUGGAAGGAGGGUACAGAUUGCUGCUCAUGGGAUGGGGUCACUUGUGACCACCUAAAUGCUCAUGUUAUUGCCCUUGACUUGAGCUGCAGUUGGCUAUAUGGCAACUUCCCUUCCAAUACCACUCUCUUCCUUCUUCCUCACCUUCAAAAACUCAACCUUGCCUACAAUGAUUUUAAUCUUUCCAAAAUUCCAUCCGAGUUCGGUCGGUUUACAAGCCUAUUCUACCUCAACCUUUCCCAUACAGAGUUUGAAGGAGAAGUCCCAUCCCAAGUCUCCCACCUGUCAAAAUUGGUUUCACUUGAUCUCUCCUCUCGGAUUGAUUACUCUGGGCAAGUUACAAUUGACAAACAUGCUCUGGAGGGACUUGUUCACAACCUAACCGAGGUCAGACAUCUGUUUUUGGAUGGAAUGGACAUGUCUUCUGUUAAUGCUCAUGUCUUCAUGAAUCUAUCCUCUUCUCUAAGGUCUCUCAGUCUUGCUUAUUGUGAUUUGCAAGGAAAAUUCCUAAAAAACAUUAUUGAUUUGCCAAACCUCAAUCUCCUCAACUUGGGACGUAACCAAAACCUCAAUCUUGAUCCUUUGAAGUUCAAUCGGAGCAGCAAUCUCGAACAUUUGGAUCUGUCGUGGAUGUCCUUCUCUACAGAAUCCGUUAAUUCAGUUGAUAAUCUACAGGCCUUAAAGUACUUAGAUCUAUCAGGAAAUUCUUUCUUUCAAGGAUUGUCUGUCUCAAUCACAAAUUUAUCAUCUUUGGAGCAAUUGAUAAUUUCAGGCGCAAAUUUUUUUGGAGGAUUGCCUGACUCGAUGGGGAAUCUUGUGUCCUUGAAGUUUUUAGUUCUCUCCGAUUCCAACUUUUCAGGACCGCUUCCAAGAUCACUGGGAAACCUCUUUCAACUCAAGUGUUUAGACUUGAGAUCAAACAAAUUGAGUGGACAAAUUCCAUUGUCAAUUCUAAACCUAACGCAGUUGGAAUACUUGGAAAUAUCUGAAAAUUCUUUAGAAGGUUCCAUUCCAGAUGAGGUAACCGCUUUUCCUAAUCUAAUAUAUUUAUACUUAUCUGACAAUUUACUCAAUGGAACACUUCCGUCAUGGUUGUAUACUGCUCCCUGCUUAAAGGAAAUAUAUCUCUCUCAAAAUCAAUUCAGUGGGCAUAUCAAAGAAUUCCAAUCCAAAUCACUAGAAUUGAUAGCGUUAGAGAGUAAUAAACUCCAAGGUCCUCUUCCAUCUUCAAAAUUCCAACUUCUCAUCCUCAAGUAAUCUCAGUGGUGUCAUAGAGUUUCGCAUGUUCUCAAACCUUCCAAAUCUAAAACUUCUUGACCUUUCAUACAACAGCCUAUCCUUAGCAUCUAAUACUACUUCUUGUGUUAACCAUAUAUUGCCUAAUCUUACAGACUUACGUUUGUCAUCUUGCAAUCUUAGUGAAUUCCCCCAAUUUUUGAAAGGGCUUAAAAGUUUGAAAAGGUUAGACCUCUCUUGCAACAAAAUUGAAGGCAAGAUUCCACAGUGGAUGCAAGAGGUGGGGAAUGGCUCUUUGACUUACUUAAACGUAUCUCACAACUCUUUGACAGAAGUUGAGCACUUUCCACGGAAGAAUAUUGAAGUUCUUGACUUAAGCUCCAAUUUGAUCAGUGGAAAUCUUCCGAUUCCAGCUUCGACCAUCAAUGUCUUUUUGAUCUCAAAUAAUAGUUUCAAUGGAGAGGUCUCUUCUUUAAUAUGCAAUGCCAGUUAUCUUAAAAUUCUUGAUUUGUCCCACAAUAACUUGAGUGGAACAAUUCCGCAAUGUUUUGGAAAUUUGAGCAACAGCCUUCAAUUCUUGAAUCUGAAGAAGAACAAGUUCUAUGGGACGAUUCCUCCAACAUUUGCAGAGGGAUGCCAAUUGACUAAUUUCAACAUAAAUGGAAAUCUGUUAGAAGGGCCUUUGACACCAUCCAUCCUUAAUUGUAAUGAACUGGAAGUGCUAGAUCUUGGUAACAACAAGAUCAAUGAUACAUUUCCUCAUUGGUUGGGCAGUCUUCCAUUUUUGCAAGUUCUUGUAUUGAAGUCAAAUCAUAUGCAUGGUUCCUUGCGUGUCAAUAGCUCCAAGUCUAGCCCUUUUUUCUCUAAAAUCCAAAUUUUUGAUCUCUCGAGUAAUUAUUUUUCUGGACCUCUACCUGUGAGAUACAUCAACAGCUUCAAGGCUAUCAUAAAUCUAGAUAAGAUUGGGAGUACAAUGUCGUACAUGGGGGUGUAUGCUCAGAGAGGUAGUGGCUUCUAUACCUAUUCCAUUGGAAUUGUUAUGAAAGGACAAGAUAUGGAAUUGGUGAAAAUUUUCACCAUGUGGAUGAUCAUUGAUCUAUCAAACAAUCAGUUUGAAGGGUGUAUUCCAGAGGUUUUUGGGAAGCUUAACUUACUGAAAGGGCUCAACCUUUCUCAUAACAACCUUCAUGGUGGUAUCCCCACCUCAAUAGGGAAUUUGACAAGUCUUGAAUGGUUGGACCUAUCUUCAAACAGGUUGUCUGGGACGAUUCCAAAUAGAUUGGCAGAUCUGGCAUUUCUUUCGUCCUUCAAUGUUUCUGAUAAUCAGCUCCAUGGUCAGAUUCCUCAAGGCAAACAGUUCAACACAUUUGGAAAUGAUUCAUAUGAAGGAAACAAGGGAUUAUGUGGAUUUCCAGUCUCGAAAGGUUGCAACAUCAUUGAGCCAGCACCUCCAAAUGUGCUUGAAAAAGAUGGCUCAAAAUCAAACAUUACUUUUGGUUGGAAAGUGGUGUUGAUAGGUUAUGGAUGCGGAGUGGUGUUCGGAAUGUCCGUGGGAUAUGUUGUUUUCCAAACUGGUAAGCCGAAAUGGUUGGUGAAUUUGGUUGAAAUCCAACAUGAGAAGAAGCAAAGACGAAAGUCAAAGAAAGGCAAUCGAAGCAAUAGACGAAGAAGGAUCUAAGUACAGCAAAUGAUGUUCAAGAAUUAGUGUUGUAUUUUCAAAAUUUCUUGUUCUGUAGACCGUUUUGCCCAUGGUGAAGGGUUGCAUUGGUAUGUGUAUGUCUUUAUUAUUGUACCAAUUCCUGUCUUUCAUUGCAUUUCGUACUAUCUGUAAUGGUUUGUUUGAGUGUAACAUUUUGUAUGGUAUUGUUGUUUAUGUCUUCUUUCAUGACUUUCCAUUUAGUCUCGAUAAUCUUUGCUACUGCUCAGUAAAGGAGGAAGGAGAAUAAAAUGUCUCAAUUUAUGUCAAUUUAUGCUUGCAGAUUUGACGUGGAAUGUUGUUGAACUGAAGGUUGUUUAACUUUUGUCUUCUAAGCUAUACAUGAACAUAUGGGAUGUGACAAAUAUUAUUUUAGCUUUUGCUUAUGAAAUGUUGAAAUAGUGAGUUUAUAUUCCUUGAUUAAUAAAAAGUGAGAUGGAGAUAGUCAAACCUCAAUUUCCACAUUGAAAUUGAAUCCAAACAUUAAUUGGUGGAUCACAUGUCUUGUAUUCUGUCAAGUUAAAGGGAGUGAAUAGAGCACCAUUCUUCUUCUGCGUGGAAAAUAAGUUGGCGUUAUGCCAAUUUUCACAUUCAUACAUAUAAAGGAAGCAAGACCAAGUCAAUAUACUUUGUAAUCUCAUCAUUUCUUCUUCAUUCUUUAGGGAGUUCAAAUGAAAUACAAAUUUUUGGUAAAUCAACUCUUCUUUUUUAUGAAUAAAAAUUAUAUGGUAAAAAGGAAGUGGUGUUAAUAAUAAUAAUAAUAAUAAUAAUAAUAAUAAUAACAACAAUACAAAACUAAUAAAGCAAUUUAGUCUAUGAUUUGCACAAUGAUUAAUGUAGCGACCUAAAAAUUUAGGCACGAGCGCUAAUUGAAGUGAUUAUUGAAAAUUUGAAAACAGAAUCUCGAUUUUAUUUGAAAAAGGAGUCGCUAUCGAUCUUUUUUUCUAGGUGUGAUCGGACACCUAAUAAAUUCUCUUUUUAGAAGAAAAAUUUAUUUUUAAAUUUUUCUAAAAAUAGGUAAUUUUUCUAAAAAAUUUAGGGGUCAAAAUGUAAUUUUUUUUUUUUUGAAUUUUUUUUGAAAUUUAAAAAAAUAUAUAUAUAAACACGACAAAACCCGGACAAAAUUUAGUGCUUACAAUUAAUACCUAAUUUGAUCCUUGAAUUAUAGUUCAAAAAGUAUUUUUAUAUUUUUAAAUUUUCAUAAAAAUAAUUGUAUCAAAAUUUAAAAAUCUUAAAAAUAAAUACAAAUUUUAUAUAAAAAAUCAAUUGGCCCAAGAAAAAAAAUUUACCAACUAAAUUUUCCAUAUCCAAACUCAUAAAUAAUUCUUCUUUGAACUUUCACAAAAAAAUAUUAAAUACCCUUUCACUUUAUCAUUAUAAAUAUAAUAUACAUUUUUUUCCUUCUUUUUCAUGUAGAUCAGCUUCAACUCUACUAUUCUUAGAUCAUUAUAAAUAUAAUAUAUGUUUUAUUUACAGCUGAAAGUAAAACCUUGAGUUGAAAUUUGGCAGAAAAAAUUGUGGGUUUGGAGAAGAAGAAGAGCACUUUGUAUUUAAAUUUAAAAAAUCAAAAAUUUCAAAACUGAAAGUUACUCAAAACCCUAAACAAUCUAAUAAUUGGAGUUAUAGAAAAGAAAUAUGAGUUUAGAAAUAAAUAAAACAAAAUAAAUUUGCAAAACAAUUUCUAGGCAAAACAACAUGAAGUUGUUGAUGUGAUUGAAGGUGUUCUUCAACGGUGGAAAACAAAUAGAAUUUAAUUUGAAAAUUUUAAGAUUUUUUAAAUAAUAAAAAAUUGCAUUAGUUUAAAAACUUUAGUUUUAAUUUUAAGAUAUUUUUAGAUUUAUACAUAUUUAAUUAUUUUUAGAUUUUUUAGAUUUAAAUGAAGUUACAAUUAUUUUUGAAAACGGUACCUCUACAUUUUUGAAGGUACAAGGAAAUAAAAUAUGGAUUUGGUAUCGAUACUUCGGCCCGAGUAUCAAUGCUCGAGGUAAGUUUAUUGAUACCUUGCGAAAGGUACCAAUAAUUUUUUUAUAUUUUGAUAUUUGGUAAGAAACAUAAUGUUAGUUUGGUAUCGAUUUUCCAUGAGAUAUCAAUACCACUUAAAGAAAAUAUCGAUAGCCCUAGGACAGUAUCAAUACCUAUGUAACAGUUUUAGAAAUUUUGCAACUGGGCCCAUUUGUAGGUUUGAUUGAUGUUUUUAAUACCCUUAGUGUAUGUAUGGCAUGUUUUAAUGAUAAGAAGUGGUUGAACGACUACAACUCAUACGUAGGAUUGAAUAAAGAUGAUGAUUGGUUACUUGUGAAAUUGUUUGCUAAGUAAAUGAUGCAUGAUGGUGGUGUAACAUCCUAAUAUUUCGGCUUGGCGACUGAGCCGAGUAUAGGGUGUUACAAUGUGUUCCACAAGUUUCAUCAGCAAUCCUCAAUGCAUCUAAUUAAUUGGGAAAAUUGAGAAAAUAGAAAAAGCUUCAGAUGGUCAAGAAGAUGUAACAUGAUGAGUACCUCUUUGCACCGUCAAGAAUUUUAGUAAGUCUCCAAAUUCAUUCAUUAACCCUCCUUCCUGUUAAAUAUUUAUCAUUAAUUUUAUUAAAUUAAAACAUAAAUUUUUAUAAAUCUAAAGUGUAAUUUAUGAGCCGAGUUAUUCAAUCCAAAAAAAAAAAUCAGCCAAGACUCUUUGGACAAAUUGCUUGAGUAAAACCAGAAAAUGAAUAACAAUUUUGAUGGAUUUUGAUUACAAAUGAAUUGAGGCAUAAUGCCAUUACAUAUACCAUGCAUUCAGCUGGUCAAAAUGAGACAGACAUCACCUAAUCAUCAACCUAACUCCACUAAGUAGCCUUGAAACUUAUGAAAACAUAACUUGCACACAUAGGUACGCUGAUUUAUCAAUCUAUCAGCACCUAAUUACAUCAAACAUGUUACCAACUUAGUUCAAAUCAAACUAAGCAAGAAAACAUUAACUUAAAGUAACAAAAAAUGAACAGCAGCAUGAACUUCAGCUGCAACUGCAUGGCUGGAGCAGCUCUGCUUCUUGUCUGCAUGCCGGCCAACUUCAACAAGAUCUGAGUAAGGCUAAUUUGUCCAGAAGUUGCAUCAUGCAAAACUAUUUAAUGGCUUUUAGGUAGCUUUGUCAACGGCAAAAAAAAUGAGAAAAUUAGUCAAAUUUCUUCCAUUUUUAUCUUUAAAAAUUUGGUUUUGUGCGUCAACAUGAAGUACAUGUGGCACGUACAUGCAAACUGUCUGAUUAUUUAGACAUCUACACUAGUUUUUAAAGGUAAAAAUAGAAGAAAAUUUUAAUAAACAAGACCAAUUAACUCUUUUAUCUAGCAUACAAGAAUUAUUCUAUACAUCUUUCAAUAAAUGGGGAAAAUUACAUCCACACAUUCUCCACAUUUCAGACCUGUAAUUCUAGCCAAUUGGUCACAAGCAUACAUGUCCCAUUUCAAUAUUCAAAGGUCUGCUUUGAUUAUUUUAUUUUGUGUUCUGUUGUCGCCCCAAAAUAGUUCCACUUGGCACAUCUCCAUACAUUUCAAACAUACCAAAAAUCUGCUGGCAAGCAAUACAAGACAAGUUCCAGCCACUUCAACAUUUGGCUCCUGUUCAUUGCCAAAAGAAAAAAAUAAACAUUUUUUAUAUUUAAUUGAAGGUCAAAAACACAUAAAAAGACAACCGGACAGCUAAUAUUUCAUCCAAUCUUCACAACAUGUCUGUGUGCGUGCAGAUCCUUCACUUCCCAGAAGCCUUUAGCGCGUAUUCUAUUAUAAAAUCACAGAUUACUAUUUAAAUGAUAAAUAAAUUAUUUAAAGUAUGAAAAUAUACAUGUUUUUUUUUUAUUGGCUUAAGGGCGUAAAAAAUCCUUAAAUUUUUUUUUUAAAAAAGACAAUUAAAUUUCUCCUUUUUUUACACUCAAUUGAGCACUUAAAGUUUUAAAAUGCAUCAAAAAUACUCUCAAACUUCUUCCGAAAAAACAAUUAAAUCCUUAUUUUCUUUCCCACUCAAUUGGGUGCUUGAACUUUUUCAUAAUAUUUUUUUGGGCGAUUUAAUGAACCAUACAAGUUUCAAGGCUAAAAGAGGCAAAAGAAAAAGAAAAAGAAAAAAAAGCUAAAAUGACUUUUUGUUUGUAAAGUCAAAAAAUACCAAAUAAAUCAUUAUGUCUUUUUAGUUUUAAUUUUUUACUUGAUUAAAAGAGAAAUAAUUAACGAAUGAAAAAUAGCUAUUCCUAAAUAAAUUUAUCAGAAUUUAUAACAAAUGAGAUUUUAGAUUUGAAGUAUGAGGUUAUAUAUAUUAUAUAAGUAUAUGAUGAAGUUGGUUCAGCAUGCAGCAAACUCGACAGCAUGCAGGCCAUCAAGACCAAGUCAUGCAGGAGCUGCUGGAACGAGCUGAACUAUUCCUAUUUUGUUCAACUUGUAACCUUAAGUUAAUGUAAUGUACUUUAGUUCAUUUAGAACUAUGUUAGGUUUAUGAUUGAUGUAUUUUGAUGACAAUUAAGCUGUUAAGUCAGCUUUGUUUAAGUGUGCAAGCUUAGUUUUUCAAGUUUCAAUGUAUUAGUGGUGGUAGGUGAUGAUUAGGUAUCAUUAUGCAGAUUUUGACAAGCAAAUUGCUUGGUUUAUGUAUUGGCAUUAUGCCAUUGUUCAAUGUAUGAAUAGAAUCAGUUUUUGUUCAUCAAUUUCCUCUCCAUUUUCUUAGCUUUUUCUUUCUUUCUUUAACUCGAAAUUGUUUGUUUGCUCAGCAAGUUUUAAGGCUUGCUCGACAAGAUACUUGCUGAGUCUGCUUGAUUCUGUUCUUGCAUCAACAAUUGGUAUCUAGAGCCUAUUUCUUAAGGGAUCUGUUACUCAAUUCCAUGGCUUCAUCAAGCUUUUCACCAGCUGCACCUCAAGUCUUCAAUGGAGAAGGCUAUCACAUAUGGGUGGUCAAAAUGAAGACCUACCUGCAGGCUUUCGAUCUGUGGGAGGUGGUCAACUUUGAUGUUGAACCAGAGCCACUUAGAGCUAAUCCAACAGUGGCUCAGAUCAGGCAGCAUGCUGAUGAAAGGACCAAGAGGCACAAAGCUAUGUCUUGCAUCCAAAACUCAGUGUCUGAUGUGAUUUUCACAAGGAUUAUGGCCUGUGAAUCACCAAAACAGGCCUGGGAUAAGUUGCAGGAAGAGUUUCAAGGGACUGAGAGGACAAGGCAGCAACAGUUGUUAAAUUUGAGGAGAGAUUUCGAGAAUUUGAAGAUGAAGGAAGAAGAAACUGUCAAGCAAUAUUCUGACAGGAUUAUGGCCGUGGUUAACAGCAUCAGGCUCCUUGGAGAGCAGUUCAAUGAAGCUAGGAUAGUGGAGAAGGUUAUAGCAACUCUGCCUGAGAGGUAUGAGGCAAAAAUCUCAUCUCUCGAGGACUCAAGGGAUCUGUCCACCAUCUCCCUGACAGAGUUGAUCAAUGCUCUAUAUGCUCAAGAGCAGAGGAGAGCAAGCAGACUGGAGGAGCACCAAGAAGGUGCCUUUCAGGCAAGAACAAAUACUGCCUACAAAGGCAAGAAGGCCUGGAGAGACAAGCCAAAGAAUGAUGCUGCAAGGAGAGAAGGUCAGACUUGCAAGCACUGUAGAAAGGCUGGUCAUUCAGAAGAAAAAUGCUGGUUCAAUCCAGAUGCUGUGUGUCAGCAUUGUAAGAAGAAGGGUCAUGUUGAGAGAGUCUGCAAGAGUAAGACCAAAUCGAGGCAGAAUCAGUUUCAACAGAUGAAAGCUGAGGCUCGAGUAGCUAAGGAGGACAGUGACCAAGAGGAGCAAGUCUUUGCUGUGUCAUGCUCAGCUGCUCAGGAAAAGUCCUCAUCUGGUUGGCUUCUAGACAGUGGAUGUACCAACCACAUGACACCUGAUGCUGCAAUCUUCAAGUCUUUAGACAGAAGCUGUAGAACUAAAGUCAAGAUAGGAAAUGGUCAUUUUAUUCAAGCUGAAGGCAAGGGUGAUGUGCUGAUAUGCACCCUUACAGGUACCAAAGUGAUUUCAAAUGUGCUGUUGGUGCCUGAAAUUGACAGAAACCUGCUCAGCAUAG
This 24945-nucleotide long non-coding RNA is filed under the name Gossypium barbadense (sea-island cotton). RNAcentral's name for it is "long non-coding RNA (GBAR_LNC023021)". Lineage: Eukaryota; Viridiplantae; Streptophyta; Magnoliopsida; Malvales; Malvaceae. The record is from RNAcentral.